GGCUCUGGGUCACCUCCCCCCGUGUUUAUUUUACCUUGUUGCUUCGGCGAGCCUGCCUUUUGGCUGCCGGGGGACGUCUGUCCCCGGGUCCGCGCUCGCCGAAGACACCUUAGAACUCUGUCUGAAGAUUGUAGUCGAGAUUAAAUAUAAAUUAUUUAAAACUUUCAACAACGGAUCUCUUGGUUCCGGCAUCGAUGAAGAACGCAGCGAAAUGCGAUACGUAAUGUGAAUUGCAGAAUUCAGUGAAUCAUCGAGUCUUUGAACGCACAUUGCGCCCUCUGGUAUUCCGGAGGGCAUGCCUGUCCGAGCGUCAUUGCUGCCCUCAAGCACGGCUUGUGUGUUGGGCUCCGUCCUCCUUCCGGGGGACGGGCCCGAAAGGCAGCGGCGGCACCGCGUCCGGUCCUCAAGCGUAUGGGGCUUUGUCACCCGCUUUGUAGGACUGGCCGGCGCCUGCCGAUCAACCAAACUUUUUUCCAGGUUGACCUCGGAUCAGGUA
Molecule: ribosomal RNA, 496 nt
Filed under: Penicillium brevicompactum
Lineage: Eukaryota; Fungi; Ascomycota; Eurotiomycetes; Eurotiales; Aspergillaceae
Description: partial 18S ribosomal RNA
Rfam family: 5.8S ribosomal RNA (bases 160-313)
Source: RNAcentral